Molecule: transfer-messenger RNA, 351 nt
Filed under: Candidatus Cloacimonadota bacterium
Lineage: Bacteria; Pseudomonadati; Candidatus Cloacimonadota
Also listed under: 1 other name
Rfam family: transfer-messenger RNA
About the family: Bacterial tmRNA, also known as 10Sa RNA or SsrA, is named for its dual tRNA and mRNA-like properties. Its role is to liberate the mRNA from a stalled ribosome.
Source: RNAcentral
GGGGGUGACAUGGUUUCGACAGGGAACCAGAGUGUGAGAGAUGCAUGCCGGAGACGCUGUCCCCUCCGUCAUCAAGCAGCAAACAAAUCUAAUUGCAAACAACAAUUACUCCUUAGCAGCGUAAGCAGCUAACGUUCAACCCUUCCGCGCCGACGGGGAGGGAUUGGGCGUCGAAACAGUGCGGCCGCUCCGGGUUCGAGAGCUCAUAAAGCCCGGCUAAGACCAUGAGCCCUGGCCCCGGCGGGUCUGAUUGUCUUUCACCGCCCUGGCCGCGAUCAAAGACAACUAAGCAUGUAGAUUCACUCAUGAUCGGUUCUUUGGACGCGGGUUCGAUACCCGCCACCUCCACCA